GCGGACAUAGUUCAUUGGUAGAAUAUCAGCUUCCCAAGCUGAGGGGGCGGGUUCGAUUCCCGUUGUCCGCUCCA
Molecule: transfer RNA, 74 nt
Filed under: Bacillota bacterium
Lineage: Bacteria; Bacillati; Bacillota
Also listed under: 2 other names
Description: tRNA-Gly
Rfam family: tRNA
About the family: Transfer RNA (tRNA) molecules are approximately 80 nucleotides in length.
Source: RNAcentral